RNAcentral lists this ribosomal RNA (465 nucleotides) under uncultured bacterium. Its description in RNAcentral is "partial 16S ribosomal RNA". It matches the Rfam family "Bacterial small subunit ribosomal RNA", at positions 28 to 507 of the family's 1533-position model. The record is from RNAcentral.
GACGAACGCUGGCGGCGUGCUUAACACAUGCAAGUCGAACGGAAAGGCCCUGCUUGCAGGGUACUCGAGUGGCGAACGGGUGAGUAACACGUGGGCGAUCUGCCCUGCACUUCGGGAUAAGCCUGGGAAACUGGGUCUAAUACCGGAUAGGAGCCAUUUUUAGUGUGAUGGUUGGAAAGUUUUUUCGGUGUAGGAUGAGCUCGCGGCCUAUCAGCUUGUUGGUGGGGUAAUGGCCUACCAAGGCGGCGACGAGUAGCCGGCCUGAGGGGGUGGACGGCCACAUUGGGACUGAGAUAAGGCCCAGACUCCUACGGGAGGCAGCAGUGGGGAAUAUUGCACCAUGGGAGCAAGCCUGAUGCAGAGACGCCGCGUGGGGGAUGACGGCCUUCGGGUUGUAAACUCCUUUCGCUAGGGACGAAGCUUUUUGUGACGGUACCUAGAUAAGAAGCACCGGCUAACUACGUG